RNAcentral lists this transfer RNA (74 nucleotides) under Ailuropoda melanoleuca (giant panda). It matches the Rfam family "tRNA". Rfam says of the family: Transfer RNA (tRNA) molecules are approximately 80 nucleotides in length. The record is from Rfam by way of RNAcentral. Lineage: Eukaryota; Metazoa; Chordata; Mammalia; Carnivora; Ursidae.
GCCCAGCUGGCUCAGCUGGUAAAGCAUGAGACUCUUGAUCUCUGGGGUCAUGAGUUCGAGCCCUGUGUUUGGUG